This 509-nucleotide unclassified non-coding RNA is filed under the name uncultured Glomus. RNAcentral describes it as "SSU rRNA". It matches the Rfam family "Eukaryotic small subunit ribosomal RNA", at positions 569 to 1081 of the family's 1831-position model. The record is from RNAcentral. Lineage: Eukaryota; Fungi; Glomeromycota; Glomeromycetes; Glomerales; Glomeraceae.
AGCAGCCGCGGUAAUUCCAGCUCCAAUAGCGUAUAUUAAAGUUGUUGCAGUUAAAAAGCUCGUAGUUGAAUUUCGGGGUUAGCAGGUCGGUCGUGCCAUUGGUAUGAACUGGUCUCGCUGAUCCCUCCCUCUUGACGAACUGUGAUGCCAUUAAUUUGGUGUCGCAGGGAAUCAGGACUGUUACUUUGAAAAAUUAGAGUGUUUAAAGCAGGCUCACGCUUGAAUACAUUAGCAUGGAAUAAUGAAAUAGGACGUUUGAUCCUAUUUUGUUGGCUUCUAGGAUUGACGUAAUGAUUAAUAGGGAUAGUUGGGGGCAUUAGUAUUCAAUUGUCAGAGGUGAAAUUCUUGGAUUUAUUGAAAACUAACUACUGCGAAAGCAUUUGCCAAGGAUGUUUUCAUUAAUCAAGAACGAAAGUUAGGGGAUCGAAGACGAUCAGAUACCGUCGUAGUCUUAACCAUAAACUAUGCCGACUAGGGAUCGGAUGAUGUUAAUUUUUAAUGACUCAUUC